Molecule: long non-coding RNA, 2226 nt
Organism: Dromiciops gliroides (monito del monte)
Lineage: Eukaryota; Metazoa; Chordata; Mammalia; Microbiotheria; Microbiotheriidae
Exons: 3
Source: RefSeq, a predicted model, not a curated record
CAUUCCUUCCUUUUUCCUUCUGAGUUAACAAUUAACCAGUAGAGUACGUUUCUCUCAGAUAAGAAGAAACUACAUCAUCCAAACCCGAAAAACUUCUUCCCUCCUCCCCAAAUUUCCCUUCCUUUUCCCUGCUGAGUCAACAGAGGUUUUCUAAAUUUAGAGAACAAAGGAUUGUAAACUCUCUGAGUCUGGCUGUCCCACAGUCUGGGGGCAGCAGUGCCAUGAUAUCUGGGGCAGGGGGUGGUCUCUAUGUUUAGAGGUAUGGUGAAGAAUGUGAACCCAGAUGGGGCAGGGACCUUGCUUUAGAUCUAGGAAAAAAGGGGGGACUUCACUGGAACAAAAUGCAGCACCCUGUAGGGGGCCUUCCUGCUUUGCACCAGACCUGGAGGUCCUGCCUCACUUUACCUCUUUCAUACAACCCAACCAUCUUGGCUCCACCUCUGGGACUCCUAAAGUAAUAAGGUAUAUGUUAAUUUCUGAUUUUUUUCCUGGUAUCAGAAAUGUUUAGGGUUAUCCUAUAGAACAUGAUAGCUGGUCAUUUUCCAACUUAAGGGGAUAACCCAGAAAGAAGGAAGAGAAAAAUAUGUGGUGGGAAGAGAGAAUGGCUGCUAUGGAAAGCUGUGGAACAUGUAGAUAUCUCUCACUCUGCUAGAUCAGGAAACUGUCAGGACAUAUGGUGUGAGAAAGCACAGUUCAGAAUUUUCUGAGGCCCAGCACUGGGAGGUCGUAAAAACUGUAUUCACAUUCACCUGAGAAUGGGCUGUCCCCUCUAGUGGGGCAGAGCAAUGUGCAGGCUUUCAGGACUGUUUUCAUAAAGGGGAUUUGCCCCGCCUCCCUCAGGGUUACAGUCUAUAUGCAGGUACUGGCUAGUCACUCAAAGUUAUUUCUUCCCAUGGGAAGUUUCUUUGAGAAGAACCCCCACCUGUGGACAUCAGUCUCUCAAGCACCUCUUUCUAUUCUUCCUGCUGAAUGUGAGUUCAACUCUCAGACGCUUAAGUUCCCCAGUUUCAAUCAACUUUGGGGGGGGGGCCCACAUUUCCCACAAUCCCUCCUCUUUGUUUUUGACCUUUGUCCUCUGCUGACAUCAUAUUUUUACUUUCAGUAACACACAACACCCCCCAGUGUCCAUCCAGUUAGGAAUUUCAUCAUGGAGCUUAUAUUCCUCUUUUAGCUGUCAGGUCUCUGGAACCACUUUCCUUGGGGCAGUUUGGAAGAUGUCAUGUCUCCAGGGCACUUCUCUGAGGAAACCCAAGGACCCAUGUGCUUUCUCCAUGACAUUUUUGGCACCCCAACAUUGCAGGGUACAGGGUCUUCCUCUCCUCUCCCCAUGCAGCACCUGAAGGCAGCAACAGCUCCCACCUGCUUUCCUUGUUCCCACUUUCCCAGCCCCCUCGUUGCCUGCCCCACCCACUCACUCCACCUAAGGACCAGGCCACCCCUUUGGCUCCUCUGGCUCCACAUGACCCUCCACAGGUGACUAUACCCCUCCCUUCAGCCCCUUAGCUCUCUACCACCCCCAAUCCACCAGCUACCUUGGUACUCAACCCUCUCAUCUGGCGCUGCAAAGGCUCACCCAAACCUCUGCAGAUAGCUGUAGCUAUACCACCAACCCCCACAUCCCCUCCCCCACCCGCUUCACCCAGGUUGCUACAAGUGCCUUCCACUGUUCCCCUGUUUCCAUUAUGGGAAGUUCCCAUGGGAGAUGGUACAGCUUGGGUGUAUGCUCCUUUCUCCAUGAGCGAUAUGUCUCAGAUUAAAGUAAAAUGGGGGCGUUACUGGGGGGAGUCCCACAAGGUUUCUAGAUGGCUUUAGGUCCGGGACAAUGCAGUUUGAAAUUUCUUGGACUGAUUUUCAAGUUAUCCUUGGUAGGUGUUGUACCCCUGAUGAGAAAAAGCAGAUUUUGGAUCUGGCUAUACAAGCAGGCGAUGAACAGGCACAGGCUGGGAGUUGGGUGGGGGUUCCUGGGACAACAGCAGUUCCAUCUGAGGACCCAAGAUGAUAGGGAUAUCAUGAUACGGAGGACAGGGCUAGUAGAGACCACAUGAUCACUUGUCUCAUUUGAGGGUAUAAGAGGGGGGUUCGAGAAACAGGCUAAUUAUGAGAAAGUAAAAGAGAUCACACAGGACCCUGAGGAAAAUCCUGCUCUUUUCAUGAGUCGCCUUGUGGACUCUAUGAAAAAAUACAGUACUCUGGACCCAGAAAAGGAAGUAGAAAUUACUGUCCUCA